RNAcentral lists this long non-coding RNA (206 nucleotides) under Lathyrus oleraceus (garden pea). Its description in RNAcentral is "Pisum sativum (pea) long non-coding RNA (PSAT_LNC003429)". Lineage: Eukaryota; Viridiplantae; Streptophyta; Magnoliopsida; Fabales; Fabaceae. The record is from RNAcentral.
UUGGUGCCACGUGGCUGCCAUGAAGUGGGGAGGAGAUAUUUUUUAUUUUCUUUAAUUCCUUUCAUUCUAUUUAAUUAAAACUUAAUUUAAAGAAUGCUAAAAUUAAAAGUUUAAUAAUUAAAAUAAAAUCAAUACAUAAAAUAAAAUAAAAUUUUAAAAAUACAAUUAAUUCUACUAAUCAAUUUGUAAAAAAAAAUCGGAUAAAA